This 74-nucleotide transfer RNA is filed under the name Sus scrofa (pig). It matches the Rfam family "tRNA". From Rfam's summary of the family: Transfer RNA (tRNA) molecules are approximately 80 nucleotides in length. Lineage: Eukaryota; Metazoa; Chordata; Mammalia; Artiodactyla; Suidae. The record is from Rfam by way of RNAcentral.
UCCCUGGUGGUGUAGGGUUCUAAGAAUCCAGCAUUGUCACUGCUGAAGCACAGGUUCGAUCCCUGGUCAGGGAA